UCCAAUCCAGGCCUCCUUUGCAAGACUCCCUUGUCUGUGGCUACACCUGCUGCUAGUUUAAUGGACCUUACCGUCUUGAUGGAAACAGUGACACCAACACACACAUACCCACUACUGUUCUCCUGGAGCUUUUGAUCUGAAGCCUGGACCAACUCUAUCCCAGGCCUCCCAACACCUAUCAUACAUUGACAUUGUACGUUCCCAGUCCUUUACUUCUUCCAGGCAGCCGUCCACCUCCAUCCUCUCCCUCUCCCUGCCCCCUCCAACCUGUGUCUCACAUCUGCUUUGCUGGCUAGACGUGUAAUUUCCCCUGUUACGUCACACUCUUACACUCAUGCACUCCGGACACACAUACAGACAAAGCUAUUAGAACCGUAUGCUCAACAGGGUCCUGGCACUACCAGACAAAGAGCCUUUUCACACAAAACAUCAGCCUCUCCAGUCCUUCCCAAUACCAGCAAGGUCAUCUCUACUUUAUUGCUUGUUAAUGUGUAUGGUGUAUGGGGAGACUAUUGAAAACAGGGGAAAAUGCACACAUGCAAUUUGGAGCACAAGAUCUGGACAGAAGAUGAAACACAUAAUCCACGAUCAAAAUGUCUUCUUUUAAUUUUUUUUUACAUGAGACAUUUCUUAUUAUAUUGGGACUAGUCCUCAUUCACUCAAACAGCUGCACUGUUGCUGCCCUCUAAGAGGUGAGUCACCUACUUUAGACUACAUUGGCUUUGAAAGGGGACCUGACACCUGCUUAGGACGUAAAUGAAUACCAGAGCAGGAUGACAGUAAACCCUCUCAGAGGAACGAAUGAGAGCCCUUAGUUCCUGCUGGUUCAGGUUGCUGCUGAAGGAAUGGAUCUGGAGAAGUUGUGACCGUCCAUGACUCACCAGUGACAAGACCUUUGAUUCAUCACCUGUGCUGAUCACAAUUACUGACUGCUACUAUUCUGUUGUACUUCUACAAUGGCCAUAAAGACAAACAUUCACUUUUAUAAGGACUUUUGGAUCCAAAACAAUGACUUCUCUUAUUAGAUAUUCUUAUGAGAAAUAGAUUGGAUUGGCAUCGCGUGAGGAAAAUGCCCUGCACGGUUUAACUGAUUUCAUGGAGUGGACACACCUUGUUGCUGGGGCACGUGAGACCCAGCGGGCCAGAACAUCUGUGGGGCUCAAAGGGACAGACAGACCGGGGUCAGACGUCCUGGGCUAAACGCUUCUGGGAAAGGUCCUCUCUUUCUCCCUCUCUCUCUAUCCCACUCUGUCACUUUCUCUCCCAGUCCUCUCUCUCUCCCUCUCUCUCUCUAUCCCACUCUGUCACUUUCUCUCUCUCCCAGUCCUCUCUCUCUCUGUCCUUUCUCCCCUUCAGGCUGAGGUAAUGGGGGUCCUAGCUGUGUCGGUCUCCUCUGGAUUAGGCAGGAAUGCAGCUUCACACGGAGGCUUCAACUGGACUGUUCUUUUCUAAAGCGUCUCCACCUCUAUCAAUAGUUGACUGCGACGGACCCCAUGCCUGAAAACAAACUCUGACAUAGUCUAGGCUUAUCACUGCAGUGGCUGGCUAGUGUAUUUAGAAAACUCACCUACAACCCAGUUGGCCAGUAAAGUCCACACGUACAUAUUCACACAGAACCACAAAGGCAGAUAGUGCUGUGGUGCCAGACUUAGAAUACGAUCUAUCACCCUAUUUAUCACACGUAUCACACGACUAAUGCAAUUAUGACAUCAUUUGGCCUCCUUUUAAAUCCAGGUUCCCAAACUAAGCAGUGCAGCUAUACUUAUUUGUGGUAUUGUGAAGCUUAAGGCCUCAUUGCAGCACUACACUGACAUUCAGUGGGGUGAUCGACAAAAUUGCUUCCAACACUCUUCUCAGCAAACUGGAUGCAGUCUAUCACAGUGCCAUCCGUUUUGUCACUAAAGCACCUUAUACUACCCACCACUGCGACUUGUAUGCCCUAGUCGGCUGGCCCUCGCUACAUAUUCGUCGCAAGACCCACUGGCUCCAGGUCACCUACAAGGCCAUGCUAGGUAAAGCUCCGCCUUAUCCCAGUUCACUGGUCACGAUGGCAACACCCAUCCGUAGCACGCGCUCCAGCAGGUGUAUCUCACUGAUCAUCCCUAAAGCCAACACCUCAUUUGGCCACCUUUCGUUCCAGUACUCUGCUGCCUGUGACUGGAACGAAUUGCAAAAAUCACUGAAGUUGGAGACUUUUAUCUCCCCCACUAACUUCAAGCAUCAGCUAUCUGAGCAGCUAACUGAUCGCUGCAGCUGUACAUAAUCUAUUGGUAAAUAGCCCACCCAUUUUCACCUACCUCAUCCCCACAGUUUUUAUUUAUUUACUUUUCUGCUCU
Oncorhynchus masou masou (cherry salmon) is the source of this 2336-nucleotide long non-coding RNA. RefSeq lists it as uncharacterized. The record is from RefSeq and is a predicted model, not a curated record. The transcript is spliced from 3 exons. NCBI's taxonomy places the organism in Eukaryota, Metazoa, Chordata, Actinopteri, Salmoniformes, Salmonidae.